CGGAUAGCUCAGUCGGUAGAGCAUCAGAC
RNAcentral lists this non-coding RNA (29 nucleotides) under Drosophila melanogaster (fruit fly). The record is from RNAcentral. RNAcentral also lists the same sequence under 9 other names. Lineage: Eukaryota; Metazoa; Arthropoda; Insecta; Diptera; Drosophilidae.